CCUUGAUUUUCCUUAAAACUAUUCGGUGACAUUCAACUUUCUCAGUAAAACGUUUCUUUACAAUAUGUUUUUAAGCAUUACCGUCCUCGGAAACUCUGGCCUUUCUUCGGAAGGCCACUAAAGAAAAUAAAAACAAAGGAAGUUGAAGCUGAGCCUGAACCUCCCACCCUGAACUCCAUCAUACCUCUUAAAUACAAAAUCCGACCUUCAAUAACAUAAAGCACCUUCAAAUUCUAAAAGUGACAGGUUUUGGCCUAUUCAUUGGAACCCUUCUUCCAUUCGUCCUUCUAGCGUCCUUGUCAUGCAUUAGGAAUUUCAUUGGAACAACGUUGAAAUCCUCACCCCCAAAAAGGUAGAAAGGGUUACCUUCUCCAAGACAGGUUUCAUGUAUUUUUACAUAUACUCUUUCACUUUGUGCCCUUUAAAUUUGAGAGUGGGUGAAGGAACUAACCCAAUAAUCUUAGAUUUUUCCAGUGAUACCAAGUAUGUUUGGCACAAGUAGGCCUAUCUUUGUGGCAUACAGUGGUUUACCACCACCAAUGGUGUUAUGAGACUGAGAAAACCCUAACUCUAGCACAUAUGAUGAACCUCUACUCCAAAAACAUUUUUCGUGGGAGUAUGCUAAAUCUUAGAAAAUGCAGUAAUCAUGCUCUUCUUACUAGCAUUGACAACGACACUGACCGUGGAUUGAUGGAACAGUUUGUUAUUAUAUCUACUAGGGAUAUCAUCCCAAUCACAAUACCAGCUUUUCCCCGAUCAUGAAAUCUUUUUUGUAAAUUUUUCAGGUAUUUGAUUCCUUUCCUUGUAAAAAUAAAUCUUCUUUCUUUGUUGACUUUUUAUUUUCUUUGUUCCAACCACUCACCAGGACCCUCCACCGGUAUAAGAUUUGGACCGAUGGGUACAAAAAAUUUUGAAUAUCACUAUACUAGAAUCCUAAAGGUGGAAGGGAAUGACUCCCAAAUAUGGGUGGAGCCAAAAAUCAUCAUAAAUAAAAACUCUGCUUCCUUUAUUUCAAACUUCUAAUACAACAUGCAAACAAUUUAACUAUCUUCUAGUGCCAAACAAGAAAUCUAAAGGAAUCCAUUGUGUGUCCCGACAUCAAAGAUCUUUAUAACCUGGUGGAAGCUCAACGAGUAUUGUCGAGCGCCUAUAAAUUGAGGAGGGCUCGUGAAUGUACUUGCCCCUCCACUAAAUGUGCCUCUUCCCGGAGUCUCUAGUAAAAAAAAUAAGCAACUAAAAAGGAAACGUAUCUCCACGGCUGGGACUUAGGAGAAGAGAAUAAUAAAACACAAACCAGACCAACCACAUGGUCCUUGAUGAUUAGAGGAGGUUGAUGGUGAAGAGGCCCCCUUUUAAAAGAAGAAAAAAAUCUUUAUCAGUUCAACCAGAUGCUCAGCCGGGGGAGCUUCAAACUCCAUCUCCAAAGGAAGUUCAGGAACUCUGGGGGGAGGGUUAAAUAGCAAUAUCAAAAAAUACUACAUCUCGUUUUUGGAUCCCACAAUUGCUUCUACUUAAAGGAUUUGAAUUCCCGAAUCUUCCUCCAUUGUCAAUUUUUGAGCCGAUAAUAACUUCUUCUCUAUCCACAUCAAUUGCUUCUUCUCCACUAACCCAAGCUGAACAAGUAAGAAAUGCCCCUUCUCCACAGUCUCCCAACCAAGAAAAUUUAAGAAAAAAUUAUUCGGUACCCACUCAAGACCCUCAUGGAAAACAAGGCAUCAUUCUUUUGGUUUCUAAUGAAGGGCCAAUCAGAAUAAGCCACGUGGAAUUAAAAAAAAUUUAAAAAUAAUUACAAGUCAGCUGCUAGAUUUAGGGGCAAAAAUAUGCCAGAAAUUUAACAGUAGGGGCAUUUUUUUCAAAAUAGGUUAACGGAGGGCAUUUUUAAACUGGAGUCAAUACGUUAGGGACAGUUCUGACCCUUUUCCGUUUGUCAAUUGUCCAUUUCUAGCAGUAUAUAUUUAUAGGUGUAUCCGUAUAAUAUAGUUUACAACCAAUUUAGAGACUGGCCUAUGAUAUGCAGAAAUGGAUAAUCGGUGCCCAUAAAAUUUAGCAAAAAUUCCAUAUAUAUACACAUGCAGAUUUUAAUUAAAUUUAAAAAUAUAUUCUCGACCUUCAUAUUUUGGAUCUCGCUCUGAUCCGUAUAAUUUAAGCACAACUAAUAAUUAUGGUCCUACUACCACUAGUCAUAGAAGUCAGCAAUUCAAAAAAGCCGUGUGAUCUAGUGUCAAUCGUUAAUGUUUACAAAAUGCACUACUCAUUGUUCUCUUAACUAAGGAGGUUUCGUUAUUAUAAAGUUUGAGUUUGAAGACUACUGAUAAAUGAGUAAAAUGCACAAUUUUGAGUAUAGUUUCAUAUCAUUUUAUGAGUGAAUUGCGGGAAAUCACAUGCUUACAAAUAUGAAUAUGCUCAUUGUGUUUUAUCGCGUGUAGAAAUGAAUUUGGAUGGAAGUUGGCAAAAAAUUAAUUGGAUGAUUUGAUAAAAAAAAAGAUAGAAAUGCAAGAGUUGAGAGCGUGCCACGAUUAAUGCAUUACAUGAAUGAUAGGUGUGAGAUGACCUAGGAAUUUAAUCAAAACCAGUGUAUGACACUUUGGCACCAUCUCCAGCACGUGAAAUAAACAAAUAAUUAAAAAUAAGUUGGGAGCUUGCAUAGGGGUCGCACAUUGCACCAACCCUCAACAUGCGACUCAAUUUUUCCUUUGCAAAUUAGGAGAGAUCACGGACACCUCACAUUAACCCUAUUCGUUUCAAAUACAACUUGAAGCAGUUUUUCAAGGGUCUACAAUAUUUCAGGAGGCAAGAACACACAAGAGCAAGGCGGAGAGGAGAAUUCUUUAUGAGUUUUUCACUUUCUUCUUCAAAUUUUUACUGUUGGUUAUGACUUUUUAUACUGUAAUCAUGCAUAAUAUUAUGAGUAGCUAAACCCGUUAUCUAAGAUUUAAUUGAACCAAUUUUUGGAUAAAUUCUUAAUUGCAUAUUGGUACAAUUGAGCUGUUUUACUCUCUAAUUGUUAAAUUGAAGGGUCAUUGGUUAAUCUUGUCUAGUUAUCU
RNAcentral lists this long non-coding RNA (3044 nucleotides) under Nicotiana benthamiana. Its description in RNAcentral is "long non-coding RNA (NBEN_LNC033443)". The record is from RNAcentral. Lineage: Eukaryota; Viridiplantae; Streptophyta; Magnoliopsida; Solanales; Solanaceae.